AUACAGAGGGUGCGAGCGUUAAUCGGAUUUACUGGGCGUAAAGCGUGCGUAGGCGGCUUAUUAAGUCGGAUGUGAAAUCCCCGAGCUUAACUUGGGAAUUGCAUUCGAUACUGGUGAGCUAGAGUAUGGGAGAGGAUGGUAGAAUUCCAGGUGUAGCGGUGAAAUGCGUAGAGAUCUGGAGGAAUACCGAUGGCGAAGGCAGCCAUCUGGCCUAAUACUGACGCUGAGGUACGAAAGCAUGGGGAGC
Molecule: ribosomal RNA, 247 nt
Filed under: uncultured bacterium
Lineage: Bacteria
Description: partial 16S ribosomal RNA
Rfam family: Bacterial small subunit ribosomal RNA
Source: RNAcentral